Non-coding RNA from Frankia sp., 47 nucleotides. The record is from Rfam. NCBI's taxonomy places the organism in Bacteria, Bacillati, Actinomycetota, Actinomycetes, Frankiales, Frankiaceae.
GAGGCUCCGGUUCACGUCGUCGCGGCUGCGACGGCGACCCGGCGGCC